UGAAUCAAGUCAAUAAACACAACUGGUCUCUGUCAAUAUCAACAACCAUUCCCAGGGGCAGCUUUUGAAUCUCGGUCACCAAGCUGCCAACCUGGACUGCCAAGACUGGCUUAUGGAGGAGUAGCACCGAUUUACCCUAUUAUAAGAAGAACCAUGUCCCCGUUGAGGUAAAUAUUCAUUCUAUUUGAUGAGGAAAGUGAAGCUUAGAAAGAAGAUCAGUAAUCUCCCCAAGG
Long non-coding RNA from Mastomys coucha (southern multimammate mouse), 233 nucleotides. RefSeq lists it as uncharacterized. NCBI's taxonomy places the organism in Eukaryota, Metazoa, Chordata, Mammalia, Rodentia, Muridae. The record is from RefSeq and is a predicted model, not a curated record. The transcript has 3 exons.